This is a long non-coding RNA of Triticum dicoccoides, 2911 nucleotides long. RefSeq lists it as uncharacterized. The transcript is spliced from 10 exons. Lineage: Eukaryota; Viridiplantae; Streptophyta; Magnoliopsida; Poales; Poaceae. The record is from RefSeq and is a predicted model, not a curated record.
AAUAGACGCGAGCCACCGACGCUCUCCCUGCACGCGACCUUCUCUCCUUCCGCACGCCAACACAGCCGCCGCCUCCUCUGCUCGUUUAUCAGCUUCGCCGAAUUUGGGGAGCCACCGGCGCGCGGGACGCGCCCCACCGCGCCUCCCUUCCCACCCACGCGGCUGCGGGCGAGGGCCCUCCUGAUCUCCCUCUGCCGAGGACCCUAUCCUCCUCGGCGUCAGCGACGGCUACAUGCCCCUCAAGGGGGUCAUCUAGGUCGAGAGGCCCGGCCAGACCGACGCCCAGUCCAAGCUGGUGAAUUUCAUCAUCCACCCUGCCCAGAGCUGACUACAGUCCAAACGAUGAUCUAUGGGAGCAGGAUUUAUGCUCAAGAGAAGAUGGUUUCAGACGAAGGACCUGGAGUGAGGCAGGUUCAGUUUUGAACAAUGCAAGUAGGAGGAUAAACAGGAAAUCUGCUAGGCUGAUGCGCCGGAGAGACGCACCAGGAGGCCAACCAGUCCGUGGUGUCGCCGCCGUCGUCCUCGUCCCUCAUGCAUAGCGACAGAGAGAGACGAUCUGUCUGGAGAUCGAGUAUAGGAUCUAGCACUGGUAAUAUCCUGCAGGCGUUGGAAGAGUACUUGCCAGUCUUGCUAGGAUUGGUUAAAGAAGAUUAAAUUUCUCUCCAGGAUAGAUAGGGUGUGAAAUCUCUUCUUCUUCUUCUUCGAGGAGGAGGAUGACGAUUGCCAGUGAACAUGUAUGGAAAAUUCAAAGUUGCUGCUGAGAAAUCUCAAACUAUCUAUAUCGAAUUUGGGAUGGUGUUGAGAUAGUUCAGGUCGAUCAUGUCGAAUUUCUAUGUGUACGAUGAUGAGGCAUGGAACAUGCUCGGCCCCUGCUGUACAGGAAGAAUUACAGUACUUCACUACUGCCCGUGAUCUCUACAUCAGAUAUAAUGUUACAGGAAUACUGGCGAUCGGGGAUAUCUUGAUCUCCAACGGUAAAAAAUGUGCACUCAGUGAUGUCAUUCAUACUAUUGAUACUAUCAAACAUUCUUUUGGGGCUCACUGCAGAUCAUCUGCAAGAAGAGCUCAGUUCAAGAACUAAGGCUAUGCUUUGCCAAGGAUUUGAAGGUGAGUUAUCUUUUGUCCUUGGAAAGGUCUCCUUGGUUUUCAUUUUUAUUUGCAUGAACACAACUUUACUGCUUAAGGACUAAUGUUGUCACAACACGGGACAAUGAUCUUACUUGGUAAUUCGCACAACACCAGUGCUAAUCAACUCAUAUGAUUUAGAGCUUUGAAGGAUUUUAAACUUUAGAUCUCAGUACCAACUUUGCCCGAGAAGAAGAAAUCAAAUUGAUCUCAGUAUAAGUACAAAUGCAUUUAUGAGAUCUUUCAACUUAUAUCACCAUUUUGUUUAUUUAUGCUGCUCAUAAAUUUUGUUUCAUUUUUUAAAGUUGUUAUUUCUGGCCAUGCAUUAUCUUUAUGGAUGAAAUCAAUGAAAUUUUUGGGAGAAAAUUUAGUGGGGGAACCAGUGAUGACUUCCCGCGGAUGCGGAUGGAGCUUCUUAAUCAGCUGGAUGGAUUUGAUGAGCUUGGCAAGGUAGACUGACAUCAUCAAGUAUUUUUCUUCUCUAGAUGCCUUUAUGCCAUAUAUGCAAAGGAUUGGAUUCAAUCGAAGUUAUUUGCUUGCCUGAAUGUAUGUGUGAUAUGCACUCUAGCUUUCCUGGCUCCUAGGUGAAGUAUGGCAGUCUCGAGACGAGUUUUAUAGAUUAAGUUUAUUGUUCAUCUUUUACAGAUGGAAUAAAAAUUGAGGACUGUAGGUUUUGUUCUAUCUGAUUGUUGUCAUGCCAACAGAAGUGCCUAAUUCUCUGAUAGGCUUUGAUUCUUAUGUUACUUUCUUACUGGGAUGUUUUAUUUUAUUUUGGGAAAACCCAUGAUUUUAUCCUAACCCGAAAUUGCCGAGGUAGGAUAAGAGUAAUGGGAAUCCAAGCCUAAUUCUCCAUUUCAAUGUACACAAAAUUACUGGUGCAUCUCCAUUUCAAUGUACACAAAAUUCAGUUGGAGUAGACUCCAAAUCUACAAAUCAUUCUUCCUACAAAGAGUAGAAACAGAGCCUAUCGACACAACCAGAACACUAUUUUAACUCUUAAACUUAGCCAGCAGUAACUAUCCAGAGUAGUUCUUCAAAGCUCUAUCGACACAACCAGAGUAGUUCUUCGGAGCUCUAUCCAGCCUGACAUCAAAGGGAGUCAAGUAUCGCUUCAACUUUCUAUCCUGCAACAGAUAAUUAAAGAUUGUCAGAAGGUGACUGGUCGCGCCCGAUCUAGGUAAAAUCUUCGUCUGAUUUUUGGUCCACAUGACGAUGAUCUGUUUUUUCGGGAGUUUCUUCAGGAUCCGCUCGUGUGCCAGAGCCGACUCAGGAUGCCUUCCUCGACGACGACGAAACAAUGAAGCUUGAAGCGAGUGGAGCUCCGAAGGAGGAUCUCAGGGAUGAAGGAGGCGUCGGCGACAACCUCAGAAAAGAGUGGCAGGGGACAGGGGGCGCGCCCGUGCUGGUGCUGUCGCUAACGCUCCACCUGGACGGCAGCGAUUGGGAGCUGCCUUGGGGUACUACGUGUUGGAGGACAACGGCGUGUAGGUCAUGUGCCUGGUGCUAGACAUGAUGGCGGGGACCAAACCGUCAUCCGCAACUACUAGCAGCAGAACACAGAAGUCGUCUAUGACCUCGACAGGACAUGCUGGCCUUUGUGCCGGCGCAGUGCGACAAGCUCGCAGCAUCACUAUAGUGUUUUUGUAGAGAGAUAGAAUUUGUAGUACUGAUCAGGUGAAAUGCGCCAAUCUGGCAAUGGUACUGAACUGAAGCAACAGUCUUUUUUAAUGAAAUGUGCUCUCAAUUGUAAAGCUAGCCAAAAAGGGCUGCUGGAUGAGCGUUGUCC